This 99-nucleotide ribosomal RNA is filed under the name uncultured bacterium. RNAcentral's name for it is "partial 16S ribosomal RNA". It matches the Rfam family "Bacterial small subunit ribosomal RNA", at positions 1386 to 1482 of the family's 1533-position model. The record is from RNAcentral.
CACACCGCCCGUCACACCAUGGGAGUUGGUUUUACCUGAAGGCAGUGCGCUAACCCGCAAGGGAGGCAGCUGACCACGGUAGGAUCGGCGACUGGGGUG